RNAcentral lists this ribosomal RNA (253 nucleotides) under uncultured bacterium. Its description in RNAcentral is "partial 16S ribosomal RNA". It matches the Rfam family "Bacterial small subunit ribosomal RNA", at positions 524 to 776 of the family's 1533-position model. The record is from RNAcentral.
UACGUAGAGUGCGAGCGUUAAUCGGAAUUACUGGGCGUAAAGCGUGCGCAGGCGGUUCGUUGUGUCGGCGGUGAAAGCCCCGGGCUCAACCUGGGAAUGGCCGUUGAAACUGGCGAACUGGAGUGUGGCAGAGGGGGGUGGAAUUCCGCGUGUAGCAGUGAAAUGCGUAGAGAUGCGGAGGAACACCGAUGGCGAAGGCAGCCCCCUGGGCUGACACUGACGCUCAGGCACGAAAGCGUGGGGAGCAAACAGG